RNAcentral lists this unclassified non-coding RNA (240 nucleotides) under soil metagenome. Its description in RNAcentral is "partial contains 5.8S ribosomal RNA, internal transcribed spacer 2, and large subunit ribosomal RNA". The record is from RNAcentral.
AAGACUAUAGACCUGCGGAGUACCUGCGGAAGGAUCAUUACAGAAAUAAACUUGAUGGAUUGCUGCUGGCUCCUCAAAGAGCAAUGUGCACGUCUGUCAUCUUUAUCUUUCCACCAUGUGCACUCCGCAUAGGUCUGACAAUCGAAGAGGCUGUCGCUCGCGGCGUCUCUUUGAGGGUUUUCUUGGGAAUUGCAGAAUUCAUUUUCUUGCUCUCUCCCUAUUUUCAGGCCUUAUGCUUUU